GGUAGAAAAGGAGAAGUCCUAUGUGAUUUGUGAGAUUGAGUUCAGAAAGUCUUUGGCCAAAGCAAGUAUGAAUACUGGAAAAGAAUUUUCAUGAGAUUCAUAAAUGAACUCGAGUCGAGCCAAUCUUACAUAAGACUGACGAUGGGGUUUAAUGAGUUCUCCAUGACCUCCAUCAAGUCGGGACUCAUGAUAGAAUGACUAAAUUAUAUGAUAACUGCAUCUAGAGAUUC
This 230-nucleotide long non-coding RNA is filed under the name Elaeis guineensis (African oil palm). Its description in RNAcentral is "long non-coding RNA (EGUI_LNC063213)". Lineage: Eukaryota; Viridiplantae; Streptophyta; Magnoliopsida; Arecales; Arecaceae. The record is from RNAcentral.